Molecule: ribosomal RNA, 501 nt
Filed under: Clostridioides difficile
Lineage: Bacteria; Bacillati; Bacillota; Clostridia; Peptostreptococcales; Peptostreptococcaceae
Description: partial 23S ribosomal RNA
Rfam family: Bacterial large subunit ribosomal RNA
Source: RNAcentral
CCUAGGGGGUAUUGCACCUACCGAAGACUAUCAAACUCCGAAUGCCGUCAUCUUAUACUUGGGAGUCAGACUGUGGGUGAUAAGAUUCAUAGUCGAAAGGGCAACAGCCCAGAUCGUCAGCUAAGGUCCCUAAAUGUAAGUUAAGUGGUAAAGGAUGUGGGAUUGCACAGACAACCAGGAUGUUGGCUUAGAAGCAGCCACUCAUUCAAAGAGUGCGUAAUAGCUCACUGGUCGAGUGAUCCUGCGCCGAAGAUUUCCGGGGCUAAAACUUACUACCGAAGCUACGGCAUCAGUAAUGAUGGGUAGGGGAGCUUCCCAUACGGGUUGAAGCAUGACCGUAAGGACAUGUGGACAGUAUGGGAGUGAGAAUGUUGGCAUGAGUAGCGAGAUGUGGGUGAGAAUCCCACAGGCCGUAAACCCAAGGUUUCCAGGGGAAGGUUCGUCCGCCCUGGGUUAGUCGGGACCUAAGCUGAGGCCGAAAGGCGUAGGUGAUGGACAACA